AAACUAACUUGGUUUUAAGCAUUUAGAACAUUUUAGAGAAUGUAAAGGAUUGCUGGCAAAAAUAAUAAAAUUAAAAUUUUAAGAUUUCUAUGUCCAUAUGGGACCACUGCACUGGAAUAAUUGCUCUUUGGUAUUUUUUUAUAUUUUUUUAUCUUAUGUUACCUAGAAGUCAGUGCAGUGAUAAAUCAUCAAAAAUGCCAAAUUAAAAGAAGGUGGUAUAUCUAGAUAUUUCAAAGGUAAGUAUAAGUGACCCUAAUCUAAUAAACAAGAUAAAAGAGAAUCAUAUUCCACACAUGGCUUCCACGGGAGUUGUGAAGAAAACUAAGCUGGCUACGGUAACUCGAUAGACACGACCAGAGCAUCAGGUUUACAUGUAAAGUCAAUGUAAAAGCAGAUUUGCUUCGCGAAAACGCAAAAACGCUUGAAACGCGCGUCACAGCAGUGCGUCUGGCGCGUUUGACUCGCGAAUAAAACCACGCGCCUCAGUUUUUGUGUUGCAUUUUGUGCAUACACGGGUAUCGCGUCUACCGCUCGAGUUGGAAAAAUCUGAACUCCAGCGUCAAUUCGCGCCGCGACAACCCAUCAGGAGCCUGGUGAUGUGGCUCUGACCUAGGUCAAAGGUGCAGAUCCAGCCAAAGCCCUUCAUACUUCAUUCAGUAUGGAGGAAAGGCUAAUCAACCACCCGGAGCUGUAUGACACCAGCUGCUUUCUGUACCGAGACAGGAAUAUAAAGGACGAGCUUGGAGGAAGAUAUGUGAAGAGAUCGGGCAACCUGUACAGCAUUGCAUUCUGCAGCCUGAUUGACAAAUCUCCUCCAUGUCGUGUCUCCUGCGCUUGCCAAAUUUAUCAUGUUUGGUUUUGAUAACCAUCACGUCCAAUAGAAAAAACAGCACAAAAACACCCAUAACUAUGACCUUCAUUCGGAAAUAGACACCUGCACCGCAAGGGAAAAAGGCGCACGAAAGUGGUGGGCAGAUGAAGACAAAAUGCGGCAUAAUAAUACUUUUACGUUUUGCAAUCUACAAAGGUUUGCACUUUGAGAAUCAACUUGUGAGAACUGUGACUAAUGUUCGUGUGUGUGGAAAAAAGUGUAUAAAGUGCGUGGCCAGGGGCUAGUUAUUCUGAGAACCCCUGCUGCAAUAAAGGAGGGACCACUGUAUAUACUUUCUCUAUGAUUAUUGUAUUCAACCUGUUAACAUUUAAUACUGUAUUGAUAGAACCAACUGAUUCUGCAGCAGAGCAUCCCCUGUUGCUUCUCCUGGCUCCCCAGUCCCUGAGCUCCUGCUGCUGCACCCACAGGUAUGUACAGCAAGCACUGAUAGCUCUUUACUCUGUGGGAUUGCCUGUGAUCACCUUUACUAAAUAUCUACAACCAAUCUGAUUAGAUCCUGUUUUUU
This is a long non-coding RNA of Astatotilapia calliptera (eastern happy), 1397 nucleotides long. The record is from Ensembl. Lineage: Eukaryota; Metazoa; Chordata; Actinopteri; Cichliformes; Cichlidae.